Molecule: long non-coding RNA, 528 nt
Organism: Oncorhynchus gorbuscha (pink salmon)
Lineage: Eukaryota; Metazoa; Chordata; Actinopteri; Salmoniformes; Salmonidae
Exons: 3
Source: RefSeq, a predicted model, not a curated record
UGGGUAUCUCUCCAGGAACAGGGUUGGAGAGCCCUGGACUAGAUAGAUGUAAACCUACAGUAGGUAUCUCUCCAGGAACAGGGUUGGAGACCCCUGGACUAGAUAGAUGUCAACCUACAGGUGGGUAUCUCUCCAGGAACAGGGUUGGAGAGCCCUGGACUAAACACUUACAUAGAAAAGGCAUAUAUUAAGUAAUGUGAUUGAAUGAUGAUGGAUCACUCUGACAUUGGUGUUUAGUCUCAGAUGAGGUCCCCUCCUUUCCUCCAUCCUGUAGAAAUGUGGCCUGGUCCUGAGCUGGAAGAGGGUCCAAGGGGCUUCUGGGAAACUGCAAGGUAAAAACAAAACAGCGUUUGGUUUCUGUGAGUACAAGGAGCCAGAGUCCACCCUGCGUUCCCUGCGUCUGCUACAUGAGCUGUUGCUGGGAGACAAGAAGCUGCUGGUCAAGGUGGAUGCUAAGACCAAGGCCCAGCUUGAAGAAUGGAAGGCUAGGAAGAGGAACGCCAACGGGGGAGCCAUGUCAGAGGACGG